GACGAACGCUGGCGGCGUGCUUAACACAUGCAAGUCGAACGGAAAGGCCCUGCUUUUGUGGGGUGCUCGAGUGGCGAACGGGUGAGUAACACGUGAGUAACCUGCCCUUGACUUUGGGAUAACUUCAGGAAACUGGGGCUAAUACCGGAUAGGAGCUCCUGCUGCAUGGUGGGGGUUGGAAAGUUUCGGCGGUUGGGGAUGGACUCGCGGCUUAUCAGCUUGUUGGUGGGGUAGUGGCUUACCAAGGCUUUGACGGGUAGCCGGCCUGGGAGGGUGACCGGCCACGUUGGGCCUGAGCUACGGCCCAGACUCCUACGGGAGGCAGCAGUGGGGAAUAUUGCACAAUGGGCGGAAGCCUGAUGCAGCAACGCCGCGUGCGGGAUGACGGCCUUCGGUUUGUAAACCGCUUUCGCCUGUGACGAAGCGUGAGUGACGGUAAUGGGUAAAGAAGCACCGGCUAACUACGUG
Molecule: ribosomal RNA, 468 nt
Filed under: uncultured bacterium
Lineage: Bacteria
Description: partial 16S ribosomal RNA
Rfam family: Bacterial small subunit ribosomal RNA
Source: RNAcentral